UACGGAAGGCAGCAGUGGGGAAUAUUGCACAAUGGGCGCAAGCCUGAUGCAGCCAUGCCGCGUGUAUGAAGAAGGCCUUCGGGUUGUAAAGUACUUUCAGUCGUGAGGAAGGUGUUAAGGUUAAUAACCUUAGCAAUUGACGUUAGCGACAGAAGAAGCACCGGCUAACUCCGUGCCAGCAGCCGCGGUAAUACGGAGGGUGCGAGCGUUAAUCGGAAUUACUGGGCGUAAAGGGCACGCAGGCGGUUAAUUAAGUUGGAUGUGAAAUCCCCGGGCUUAACCUGGGAAUGGCAUUCAAGACUGGUUAGCUAGAGUCUUGUAGAGGGGGUAGAAUUCCGAUGUGUAGCGGUGAAAUGCGUAGAGAUGUGGAGGAAUACCGGUGGCGAAGGCGGCCCCUGGACAAAGACUGACGCUCAUGUGCGAAAGCGUGGGGAGCGAAACAGGGAUUUAGAUACC
This 456-nucleotide ribosomal RNA is filed under the name uncultured bacterium. RNAcentral's name for it is "bacterial SSU rRNA". It matches the Rfam family "Bacterial small subunit ribosomal RNA", at positions 340 to 786 of the family's 1533-position model. The record is from RNAcentral.